This is a long non-coding RNA of Uranotaenia lowii, 5151 nucleotides long. RefSeq lists it as uncharacterized. The transcript has 3 exons. The record is from RefSeq and is a predicted model, not a curated record. Lineage: Eukaryota; Metazoa; Arthropoda; Insecta; Diptera; Culicidae.
GAUGUUAAACAACAAUGUGCAGUGUAUGCGGAAAACAUAAAAUUUGCAUAGUUCAUUUCGAAUAAGUGUUUUAAGAUGCAAAUAUAGCUGAAAUUAUUCAGAAUGAUUGAGCGAUCACUUCCUAUAACCGCACCUACAUUUUUGUGAAGAAUUUUUAAGCUUAUUCUAUGUGUUUGGGCAGUAGGCCAAUCACGCUUAGUUCCGACCGAAAACCAACGAAAAAUUCAGAUUGUGAAGUUUUCUUAGGUUUCAUUACCAACCGACUAGUAGGCGAGUGUUUCCCUACUAGGAUAGCAACAAUAAAUCACUAAGGAAAAUCAACAAGUGAAGAUUAAGUUCAUUUCAGUUUUGCCUUUUGUCGAAUAAAGUCCACUUUUGUAAAACAAUUUUUUGAAAGUUCAACAAUCAAGAAGCCCCGGUCCAGCCAGCAAGCGGUCCAGAAUUCAUCAUCGAGUCAUUGGCGUCAAAUAUCAAGGAGUUUUGUUACGAUUCCGAAAACGGUUUGGUAUUCGAUCGAUGGUUGCAGAAGUACGAGGACCUAUCCUUGAAAGACGGAGAAAAUCUGGAUGCAGAAAUUCGCCUGCUGUUGAGGAGCCUCAGCAUUAACGUUCACGAAAAGUGUGUGAAUUUCUGUCUGCCAAACCAUCCACGUGAGUUUUCUUUCGCCGAUAUCGUCACUAAGUUGAAACAGUUGUUUGGUGUUCGAAUUUCCAUUUUCAAUAAGCAAUAUUAAUGUUUUCAACUUACGAAGAACGGAGAAGAUGAUUACGUUACCUACGCUGGAAUCGUGAAUAAACGCCAAAUUUGGCGCGAGACCUUAGUCCUAGGAUCAUUUUUAGCCUAGCCUUUUCGUCAUUUAUGAUAUUCUCAUGGACAUUGUUUCUUAAAAAUUUUAAGCGGCUUUAUCGGUGAGUAUUAUUAUAGAUUUGAAAUAAUAGAUGGAUAGACCGUAGGAAGAAAGUUACUAAGGUGUUGAAAAGAGCGAUGAGCAUUUUGUUUAGAGGCUUGACCACAUACUGGAAUUUUUGUCCCUCACCAAUCAGCCGGCACUUCGUUUUGCGAUGCAGUUGACUAAUCUGGAAACACAUAGCUGGUACGAUUGCUUAAGGCAAAAAAAGUGAUUCACUGCUGUUUCCGGGUGAUACCUCCAUACCAGAUUCUGGCGAGCCGGUUAAGUGCAGUAGAUCGGUGAGUCGAAAAUUAAAAUCGGAUCCAAGAAGAAAACGGAACAAAUUCCCAUUUUUCUUACGCCAACCGUACGGGAACAAAAGAACGGUCCGUAUACAAGAAGAGCACGGAAAAAAGAUUACUGCAAAGUCGAUACGCCCACCACGAGGCAUACAAAAUCACUUGGAAAAAGGAAAAGAAAGCCUAAAAAGAGCCCCUAGUGAAAAGGUUUUCGUCUUCGUAGUUUUAUGGGUCCUCUCCGCAUCUUCUCCACAACUGACAACAACACGGGUGGUUGCAUCAUCCGAAGGCCGAACGGCUACCGAAUCCGCAAGCCGAACAGGAACCGGACAGUGACCGAGUCCGUGAGCAGAACCCGCAAGCUGACCAGGAAUCGUCGUAGUGGAGCAAAAUCCGCUCAGGAGGGCGACACAAAUUUUAAACGCGCAUGGCGCAGCGUUUACCUCCAGUUUCCGGGAGCAAGAUUCUCCUCAUCAUCCAGCCAUCGAAGCGUGGGAGUCAACCGGCACUGUUCAGAGCCAACCACGCGCGAGUACCAUCGCAUGGUUUAUUGUUGACCGAAUGAGCGUUUUCGCUACACAUGCGAUGCCAUUCCGGAGAGGACAUGAUGUAAGUGCACAAUCACGACUUAUUUUCAGCAUUGCACAUGUUGAGCGGGAGGAGCAGGAGAAAAAAAGAAAGAAGAAAAACUUCUAUCUUCUCCUUUGAGCCAAUUUUCUUCUUGUGUCUUCUUAUGUCUGACGUGUCAUUUUAUGCCUUAGAUCUCAGGCCUUGGCCAGGUCUCAAGUACUCAAGUCUCAUGUCUUAUGUCUCAAGUAUAAGUUAUCAUGUCCCAGAUCCAGAUCUUAGAUUUCAGGCAUCAUGUCCAAGGUCUAAGAGGUCUUAAGUGUGAGGUAAAAGGCUCCAUGUUUCAUUUCCUAGGCCUCAAGUGUCAAAGUCUAAGGUGUAGGGUUUUAUGUCCCAAGUCCCAGGUCUCGGGUUACAUGACUAAUUGUCCCAAGUUUCACAGUUUCAGAGAAAGUGCGUUUAUUUACACGGUGUUUUGCGAUUAGCACGAAUUUUUUACACGUGUAAAUAACCUUUGGUGUACUUAUUUAAAAACGUAAAAUCGUUCGAAGAAAGUAAUUUGAGCAUCGUCUAUUCGAAAGAAGUUUAUCAGACCUAAGAGCCUAAGAAGUUUAUCAAGAACGAAGUGAGGUCAACGUUAACAUUGUUUAUUAUGUUAGAGUGAAAAAGCGAAUAGUUUAUAGGGAACUGUGAUAUACAGAGGAACAAGCAUCGGUUAUAUUUUUCAAUGGUUUUAAUAGCUACAGUAUUUUAAGAUAGUUAAGUUUAUGUAGUUCAGAAGAGCAAAUUCCUAAUCCAAAAACAAACAUUAAGAAAACGUUAAAAUAGCAUCAUACUUCAUAUGUUGUGUUCAAUGAUUUGCUUCAUUUAUCAUCCAAAUUUACCGCUAACGAGUAAUACAUAUACGAGUGUUUCUAUUAUAUGCUGCAUCUAAUCAUUUAACUGCCGUAGCCCUCGCCGUCCAGAGGGAUUUCAACGGGAAAAUUUAUUAAAACAUACUUUUAUCAUUGAAUGUGGAUGAGUUAGCUCGCAAAAGUUAAAUUUCAUAAGGUGUCCUGUUUUGUACAUACCUUGAGAAGUACAGAAAAAAACUGUGUGUUAUUUUUAGUGUCAGAGGUAAAUAAACCGACGCAUCUGUGAUUAACGUGAUCACACAAAAUUUAAAAUAAAGAGCUUGAACAAAAAAACAACUGAUAAGCGCUGUGAAGGUACCCACAGAACCCAGCUUAUCAGUCAGUCAGUUUUUGUGUAUCACUAGAAAAUGGCUUUGCUUGUUGCCCUAUUUUACUCGUGACUGUCCGGACAGCCACCAAAAAGAGUGAUCGAUAGUUUGAGCUGAGAUCAUAAUCGACGAUAUUAUGUUGUAAAUAUGUUUCACUUAACUAUGUCAUACGCGAACAUGUGCUCACAUGUGAUCGACCAUCAAUUGGUGAAAGCUGACUGUUUGGUUCAUUCAUAACUCAAAAGUUCAUAUGGAACAGGAAAAGAUCGAUAGUGAGUAACGAAAAUGUAUACUGUGAUUGUAAAUCGUACUCUCAAGAUAUGUGCAAAAUUAACCAUAAGAAAUUGUUUGUUAGAACUAUUAUGUAACUUUCUACUGGGAUAACUUGUUUAUGAAAAACAAAGUUUGUGGUUGUACGGAUGUUUAAUUUACUCUUCAACUAAGAAAUUGUUACAAGGAAACUAAAAAUUGGCUGGAAACACAGGUACAAACUUCUAUAAAAUAAAUCAUAUGUGAAAGUAUUAAUUUUUGUUUUUAUUUAGGAGUUUUAGAGUGAACCAUCCAAAAAAUGUUGUCCAUCUAUCGAAUUAUUAUUAAUUAUCUUUUGCUUCAUGAUUUUCUUUUGUUCUUCUAUCCGAAAAUUGUUUGUACUUUGACAAGUUUACACUUUACUAGUUUUGCUUCUUUUUUCAAAUAGUGGUUCACUAUGUGCGGUUAAAAAAAUGGAGCUACUGAAAAAAGUAUAAAAAACCUACAUAUAACAAAAAUAUAUUGCAAGGCAAAAAAGAUCUCCGGAAAAAUAAACGUUACCAGAAUAUGAUGUUGGUUAUGUCUUACAUGGCUAAAUGUUUCUUAAUGAGCUAAUAUCACAGAGUACAGUCAAAGAAAUAGUUCUCACUUGCGAACCCGGCAGAAAACACGUUCUGUAGCAAAACACGGAAAUGUUCCGACUGCCAGGAGAACCGCCCUAUCCCACUGAGUGUACUAGAAUACUGUUAAUGUUUGUCAGCGAAUACCCAAUCCAGAACUACGUUUUCGUUUGAUUUUACUUAUUCUGGAGUAGAGCUUUUCAAUAUCGGUAUUCACUCAAAGAGUUUGCUUUUUAUUCUAAAUUCGACCAAUAGAUAGAUCAUAUUUAGGGCUAUACGUUCUCCAAUUAACCUCGUUAUCAGAAAAGCAACUUACUGACAAACAAAAUCAGGGGCAAUUUCACCAACUGGCGACUGCAAUCUGAAAUGUAACUGACCCUAGCAUAUUUUUUCUUUUCAUUUACUUCAUAACACAUUUUGACCAUAGAAUGGUCUCAUCAAAUCAGAGAUUUCAACAUUCAAUUGUUGGAUUAUCAAUUUCACUUCAUUUGCAGUCUGGAGUACAAGCAUAUUUCUAAGUUUAUUCUAGAACAUUGAUUGAUAUCUUUGUUAAUAUAAGAGCAUUCUUAAAAAUCUAAGCAAAAAUUCUCUUCCAGUUAUUGUGUUGUUUAUAUAAUAUGCUUCUUUACCAGUUGGCUACGCAUUGCCAGCAUCGCGCACUCACUGUUACGUGAAUUCUCACACCGCAGCUCUCACCUGCCUUCACGUAACGGUGCGGUGCUGUGAGGUGUUUACGAAAAAUUGUUCAAAAUAUUUCUUAGAUAUUUUUUGCGGUAGAUAUAUUUAUUGGUUUCUUCAACUGUGUUUCUAGUUCUGCUAAUUAUCGUGAAACGAAACUUGAAAACCGUUUAUAAGACCUUACUUUUCAUUGAAGAAAAACAAAUUUGUUUGCCUAGCAUUAAGAUGAUUUUAGUAUGUAUGCAUUGUUAAAAAAAAAAAAGAAAAGUAAACCUGAUUCCUUAAGUGCUAUUUCUCUGUAGAUAGAUAAUUGUCUGUUAAGAUUUCUGUCCCGAAAGGAAGUCGAAAAGCAUCAAAGUGGAAAUUAUCGUUGCUUUCAUGAAAAUAAGGUUUGAUCUGUAUUUCGGACUGUUAAGACAUUACCACGCACCGCGUCCGUCUCGUUGUCCUUUGUAGUUUAAUAGCAUUCUUCAUCCUCCAUAGCGAAAUCGCUGUUGAAUCCAGAAUCAGCAUAAACCGAGCUGUAACGACAAACAGUCUAGAUAAGAAUCUAUUCUAGGGAGUUGUUGCUAGAACAUCCAAAUCCUAUUCAACCGAGGAAUUGAUAAAGAUUUUUAUCACUUUGAA